UACGGGGGGGGCAAGCGUUGUUCGGAAUUACUGGGCGUAAAGGGCUCGUAGGCGGCCAACUAAGUCAGACGUGAAAUCCCUCGGCUUAACCGGGGAACUGCGUCUGAUACUGGAUGGCUUGAGUUUGGGAGAGGGAUGCGGAAUUCCAGGUGUAGCGGUGAAAUGCGUAGAUAUCGGGAGGAACACCAAUUGCGAAGGCAGCUUGCUGGGACGGUACUGACGCUGAGGCGCGAAAGCGUGGGGAGCAAACAGG
Molecule: ribosomal RNA, 253 nt
Filed under: uncultured bacterium
Lineage: Bacteria
Description: partial 16S ribosomal RNA
Rfam family: Bacterial small subunit ribosomal RNA
Source: RNAcentral